AUGCAAGCCUGGCCGGUGCCCUCCACACCAACUGAACUACGGGGUUUCCUUGGCCUAACCGGCUACUACCGCAAGUUCGUUCUGCACUACGGCAUCACCGUGAAGCCGCUCACCCAGCUCCUGACCAAGAAAGGAUUCGAAUGGAGCGACAAGGCCCAGCAGGCGUUCUACAUGCUCAAGCAGGCCAUGGUGAGCACACUAGUGCUGGCGCUUCCAGAUUUCUCACGCCCCUUCGCCAUCGAGACCGAUGCUUGUGACACGGGCGUGGGCGCGGUGCUCACCCAGGACGGCCAUCCCAUCGCCUACCACAGCAAGGCCCUGGGGGUGAAGAACCAGAAGUUGUCCACGUAUGAGAAGGAAUUCCUGGCGGUCAUGAUGGCCAUCCACAAGUGGAGGCCCUAUCUGCAGCGUGCCCCGUUCAAAAUCGUCACCGACCACAAGAGCCUCUGCACGCUCGGCGAUCAACAGCUGGUGACUGAGCUGCAGCGCAAGGCCAUGUCCAAGAUGGUGGGCCUGCAAUUCACCUUCCGAUACAAGAAAGGUGUCGACAAUGGCGUCGCUGACGCACUUUCCAGGGUUGGACAUCUACUGACACUCGACGCGCUGUCAGUCUGUCAGCCACAGUGGUUGCAAGAGGUCACCAACUCCUACGAGACCGACCCUGAAUCACAAGAACUCCUGACCAAGCUGGCAGUCACCACCUCGGAUGAUCAAGGGCGCACUCUUCAGAACGGCGUGAUCCGGCAGCGCGGGCGCAUGUGGAUUGGGGCCAAUUCCGCGCUGCAGACCAAGCUGAUCGCCGCUCUGCAUCACAGUGUUGUUAGUGGCCACUCCGGCGCCACGGCCACAUAUCAUCGCGUCUGGAAGCUGUUCGCUUGGCCGGGCCUGAAGCGCGCCGUGGAGGACUUUGUCAGGCAGUGCGCCGUCUGUCAACAUGCCAAGCACGAGCACACGCAUCCCGCCGGCAAGCUUCAACCUCUACCAAUCCCUACCGAACCAUGGCACGAUCUGACCAUGGAUUUCGUCGAGGGGCUGCCCAAGUCUGAGAGGUCUGACGCCAUCAUGGUUGUCGUCGAUCGUCUGACCAAGUACGCGCACUUCAUUCCUCUUCAUCACCCCUUCACCGCUGCCCAAGUCGCCUGA
Molecule: ribosomal RNA, 1143 nt
Filed under: Triticum aestivum (bread wheat)
Lineage: Eukaryota; Viridiplantae; Streptophyta; Magnoliopsida; Poales; Poaceae
Description: partial small subunit ribosomal RNA
Source: RNAcentral